AACGAACGCUGGCGGCAUGCCUAACACAUGCAAGUCGAACGAUGCCUUCGGGCAUAGUGGCGCACGGGUGCGUAACGCGUGGGAAUCUGCCUUUCGGUUCGGAAUAACUCAGGGAAACUUGAGCUAAUACCGGAUAACGUCGCAAGACCAAAGAUUUAUCACCGAAAGAUGAGCCCGCGUAGGAUUAGCUAGUUGGUGAGGUAAAGGCUCACCAAGGCGACGAUCCUUAGCUGGUCUGAGAGGAUGAUCAGCCACACUGGGACUGAGACACGGCCCAGACUCCUACGGGAGGCAGCAGUGGGGAAUAUUGGACAAUGGGCGAAAGCCUGAUCCAGCAAGGCCGCGUGAGUGAUGAAGGCCUUAGGGUUGUAAAGCUCUUUUACCCGGGAAGAUAAUGACGGUACCGGGAGAAUAAGCCCCGGCUAACUCCGUG
RNAcentral lists this ribosomal RNA (433 nucleotides) under uncultured bacterium. Its description in RNAcentral is "partial 16S ribosomal RNA". It matches the Rfam family "Bacterial small subunit ribosomal RNA", at positions 29 to 507 of the family's 1533-position model. The record is from RNAcentral.